GACGAACCGUGCGAGCGUUGUUCGGAAUCACUGGGCUUAAAGGGCGCGUAGGCGGCUCGCGAGGUCGGGGGUGAAAUCCCGCAGCUUAACUGCGGAAGGGCCUCCGAUGCCGGCGGGCUGGAGGAAGGUAGGGGUGCGCGGAACUUCUGGUGGAGCGGUGAAAUGCGUUGAUAUCAGAAGGAACGCCGGCGGCGAAAGCGGCGCACUGGACCUUUUCUGACGCUGAGGCGCGAAAGCUAGGGGAGCAAACGGG
Molecule: ribosomal RNA, 253 nt
Filed under: uncultured bacterium
Lineage: Bacteria
Description: partial 16S ribosomal RNA
Rfam family: Bacterial small subunit ribosomal RNA
Source: RNAcentral